Dermacentor andersoni is the source of this 4749-nucleotide non-coding RNA. The record is from RefSeq and is a predicted model, not a curated record. NCBI's taxonomy places the organism in Eukaryota, Metazoa, Arthropoda, Arachnida, Ixodida, Ixodidae.
UUGCAGUGAUGUAAUAAUACGGAUCAGUGGUUUCUAAUUCAGAUAAAUGCGACGUUGAACGACUGCUUAAAAGAAAUGUUUGAAUUUCUCAGCGCCCACUUUGAUCGAACAUAUAUCUGUCUCUAACCAAGGGCACCUCUUUUGCGUUCCAAGUUGUCUCUUUGAUUUUUCGUUCCGCAGACCAACGAACAAUGUGCAUUUCUCACGAUGCAUCCAGCGUGCAUGACAUUAGGCGGGCGCCAAAGAAGCCAGCGCAGUACAUGGCCGAAUACAUUGCCACGUGUCUUCAGAAGCCGGUGACGACCAACGAACAAUGCGCAUUUCUCACGAUGCAUCCAGCGUGCAUGACCUUAGGCGGGCGCCAAAGAAGCCAGCGCAGUACAUGGCCGAAUACAUUGCCUGGUGCCUUCGGAAGCCGGUGACGGUAAGUGUGCUCUUAGCGGUGACGACACCAACGUGUGGGGCUUCGCGUACGUUUUACCUGAUAAUAAAGCCAAGAUUUGUCAAUGUGUACUUCAUUUGCAGUGACGUAAUAAUUACUGAUCAGUGGUUUCUAAUUCAGACAAAUGCGACGUUGAACGACUGCUUAAAAGAAAUGUUUGAAUUUCUCAGCGCCCACUUUGAUCGAACAUAUAUCUGUCUCUAACCAAGGGCACCUCUUUUGCGUUCCAAGUUGUCUCUUUGAUUUUUCGUUCCGCAGACCAACGAACAAUGCGCAUUUCUCACGAUGCAUCCAGCGUGCAUGACAUUAGGCGGGCGCCAAAGAAGCCAGCGCAGUACAUGGCCGAAUACAUUGCCACGUGUCUUCAGAAGCCGGUGACGACCAACGAACAAUGCGCAUUUCUCACGAUGCAUCCAGCGUGCAUGACCUUAGGCGGGCGCCAAAGAAGCCAGCGCAGUACAUGGCCGAAUACAUUGCCUGGUGCCUUCGGAAGCCGGUGACGACCAACGAACAAUGCGCAUUUCUCACGAUGCAUCCAGCGUGCAUGACAUUAGGCGGGCGCCAAAGAAGCCAGCGCAGUACAUGGCCGAAUACAUUGCCACGUGUCUUCAGAAGCCGGUGACGACCAACGAACAAUGCGCAUUUCUCACGAUGCAUCCAGCGUGCAUGACCUUAGGCGGGCGCCAAAGAAGCCAGCGCAGUACAUGGCCGAAUACAUUGCCACGUGUCUUCAGAAGCCGGUGACGACCAACGAACAAUGCGCAUUUCUCACGAUGCAUCCAGCGUGCAUGACCUUAGGCGGGCGCCAAAGAAGCCAGCGCAGUACAUGGCCGAAUACAUUGCCUGGUGCCUUCGGAAGCCGGUGACGGUAAGUGUGCUCUUAGCGGUGACGACACCAACGUGUGGGGCUUCGCGUACGUUUUACCUGAUAAUAAAGCCAAGAUUUGUCAAUGUGUACUUCAUUUGCAGUGACGUAAUAAUUACUGAUCAGUGGUUUCUAAUUCAGACAAAUGCGACGUUGAACGACUGCUUAAAAGAAAUGUUUGAAUUUCUCAGCGCCCACUUUGAUCGAACAUAUAUCUGUCUCUAACCAAGGGCACCUCUUUUGCGUUCCAAGUUGUCUCUUUGAUUUUUCGUUCCGCAGACCAACGAACAAUGCGCAUUUCUCACGAUGCAUCCAGCGUGCAUGACAUUAGGCGGGCGCCAAAGAAGCCAGCGCAGUACAUGGCCGAAUACAUUGCCACGUGUCUUCAGAAGCCGGUGACGACCAACGAACAAUGCGCAUUUCUCACGAUGCAUCCAGCGUGCAUGACCUUAGGCGGGCGCCAAAGAAGCCAGCGCAGUACAUGGCCGAAUACAUUGCCUGGUGCCUUCGGAAGCCGGUGACGACCAACGAACAAUGCGCAUUUCUCACGAUGCAUCCAGCGUGCAUGACAUUAGGCGGGCGCCAAAGAAGCCAGCGCAGUACAUGGCCGAAUACAUUGCCACGUGUCUUCAGAAGCCGGUGACGACCAACGAACAAUGCGCAUUUCUCACGAUGCAUCCAGCGUGCAUGACCUUAGGCGGGCGCCAAAGAAGCCAGCGCAGUACAUGGCCGAAUACAUUGCCUGGUGCCUUCGGAAGCCGGUGACGAAACAGUUACGUGUGACCUGGCAGUGCGGCGACUCCCAAUUGUGACCAGCCCGCCGUGGAUGAUGCUCCCGAUGCCUCGUCAGGUCUCAAGGUUCCGGAUAACACGAGCUUCCUGCAUUACCAGGCCGCUACGUUGCAAUCUAUUCUCCGGGAACCUCCUCCGCGGUCAUGCGGUCUAGUGCGGGGCCUUUAACAUCGUGACGCAGCAGUUGCCUCCGGCUACUGAAGAUCGCCUUCUGCCUCCCAUCAACCCGAACCACGCGAGGGAUAUCCGGGAGUUGUACCGGUGUAACCGGAGGCGCGCGGUCCGUCUCAUCCUCGAGGGCCCCUCCCGACAACGUCCCAUCCCACUAGACGCCCUGGAGGCUCAUUUCACCGACAUCUGGACGCAGAGGUUCCUCACCAGCACCUCGAUUUUUUUUCGGGAGGGUCCUGCUCCCGAGGAGGUCAACCUGGAUCCAUGCACGGCUGAGCAGGUCACCUACCGGUUCCGGUGCUCUGAGGACACUGCGCCCAGGGAAGACCGCAUCUCUUGCGAACGCUGGAAUGCGGUAGAUCCGGAACAGAAGUUCCUCGCCGCGUUUUUCAAUUUCUGCCUGCUUCAUCACCGCACACCAGAGAGCAAGAGGACGUCAAUGAAGGUCCUAAUAUUCUAGAAAUGCGACGAGUCUCCUCCCCGCAACUAGUGCCGGCUCAUUGCUCUUGGCAAUAUUGCUGCCAAGCUAUAUGCCAAGUCCAUUGGAAGGCGGUCGCAAGAGUGGCUGGUAAUACGCAACAUCCUCUCCCACUGCCAAAAGGGGUUCCUCCCACAUGACGGCAUCAUUGAGCAUAACUAUGUGCUCCGGGAUCGAUUUGAAUAGGCCGGCAGCGGUGGCAGCAAAAUGUGCGUUGCCUUCCUGGAUUUCACCAACGCCAAUGGAUCGAUUCCCUACCAGGAGUCGCUGGAUGUCCCUCGUGGAGGCAGUGCAGGUAACUGUUUCGUGGGGAUCGUUUCCGAUCUGUACAACCGUACGCAGAUCAUGGCUGCUGACUGCACCACCGCGCCCAUUCUCAUCCUGGUCGGGAUUCAUCAGGGCCGUCCGCUGAGUAGCCUGCUUUUAUCGGCCCCAUUAUUUGUGACAUCUACCGUCGAUAUCGUCCUCAUAACAUCUUGGCCUACGCUGAUGACCUCAACCCUAUGGCGGCGAGGCCAGGGGCCUUGCAGGCUUGCAUUCUCCGUGUUGAGGCUCUGGCGUCGGAGCUGGGUCGGUCUCUUAUCCUCCAAGUACCGCUCUCUCCACCUCAGGGGCCACUAACGGGCAGGGACCAGAUAUUUUUCCUCCAUUGUUGCAGGUUCUACCAUCCCUGCUAUGGCGAACUUCGAUGUGCAGUGGUUUCUGGGCCGGCCAGUGGGUUUACGUGUACUCGCUUGGAUGCCGCACGGACUUUCGUCUUCCCAGGGCGGAACUUAAUGAUGAGGUACGGGACCCUGAAAAAAGGCAACUGGCAGCGACUCAAAGAUGCUCUGCGUCCUCUCCUGAAAAGGACGCUAUAUCUACCUUGCAACGCAUCGAAUGAGUACUUAUACGGAAGCUCACAAUGUGGGGCUGCAGCAAUCCCAGUCGCUGUUGAAUUAAGUCACAUAUGCCGCCCCGGCAACGCUUUCAAGUUGCCGACAUUUAGGGAUCUUGAGCUCCGUAAGAUGGCAUCUCAAGACCUGUUUGAGGUGGCGUCCAAACGUCAUUGCCGGCUGGCGGUGCAACAGGACGUCGAAGACGACCUCAGCGUGUCCACAGAGUGUGAUUUUCGGGCGCCUGCGUAAAAGCUUCGGCCCUUUUGGACUGAGGCAUGGAAGGAGUCUCGCCGCAGGAUGUAUUUGUGAGCUGCACCUUGAUGGAGUCCGGAUCAUAUGCAGUAUCUGCGGUGACCACACACUCAUCCCUGCCCACCGCAGGAAGGUCAUCCGCACACUCCGAGGCAUUCGAUCGGCUUACAUGGAUGCAGCUCUUUACGACAAACCGAACCAAGGCAAGGUGUUGUAGUGCAUCACCUACGACCCCGCGAGCUCCCACUUCAUGCACACCGGGUCUGUUACCCGGUUUGCAAACUGGCGUUUCGUACAAAAAGCCAGGCUCUACCUACUACCUCUAGAGCGAUCCGCCAUGUGGGCGACAGGCCGCGACCAGCGCAGCACGGCCUUUGGGUGCAUCAAGAAGACGCUGCCCCAUGUCCUCUGUCACUGCAUGGCAAACAGCGCUAUUUACACUGCUCGCCGCAAGAAGAUCGUGGCCCUCGACGGUACGAUCUCGGAAUACGGGCCCGUGCAUCAACACCUUGCACUACGGUACAGGCGUUGGUGCCAUUGCACCCAGGACCCAAAAACUACCCGUCAAUGCGCAAACUUUGCUCUCGAUCCUCUCUAAAACUCUUUCGAAAAGCUGGUCGUGAGUGAAGAUGUAUAUCAGUAUCAGAUGAGAUUUAUCAUCACUGCGUGGCCUAUUUCUAGCCCUGUGGACACCAGAAACGGGGAUUGGACUUGUGUUAUUGCAUACUUUUGCUCCUCAUUUUUCUGUCAUUUUUGUUCCUCGCCACUUUGUUUCCUAUACAGCGAAUUACGGCAGAAAAAUGCUUGUCUUUGGUGUCACCAAAAGUGUCCUUAUAAAACAAUCGAAUAAAAAACUUACCUGCCUAACGUA